Non-coding RNA from Danio rerio (zebrafish), 1510 nucleotides. Lineage: Eukaryota; Metazoa; Chordata; Actinopteri; Cypriniformes; Danionidae. The record is from RefSeq and is a predicted model, not a curated record.
AUGAAUGUGCGGCUGAAAAAUAUGCAGCAACUGCGUGAUGUUAUCAUGUUAUUAUGGACCAAAAGAUAUCUCUCUAAGAAAUAUUUCCAGUACCUUGUGCCAUCUAUUCCAUGAUAGAUUAAGGCAGUUCUGAAGGCAAAAGGGGGUCCAACUCCACACUACUAAGGUGUACCUAAUAAAGUGGCCGGUAAGUGUAUAUAUAUAAAUAUAUAAUGUAUUAGGUGUAAAAUAUUGUAUUUAUUACUACUUAUUCAUAUGAAAAAGAUUGAAAACCCUUUUUUCAGUUCAAGGUUAUUUCUAAAGACUUCUCUACUGUAAAUAAUUACACUGACAUUUGUGCGUUGUGGGCGGUGUGUACAGCUCUACCGUCUACCAGUUUGUGUAUAGUAUAAUUUUGGUCAACAAGUGGCUAACCCUAUAGAGUUUCUAGAGGUGUUAAAAGUUCAUUGUGUAUGAACUGUGCACUCUCUAGCCCAUGACCUCUAUUUCCUCUGCCCAAGGCUGAUCUGUGGGCCGCCUGCCCUUGUGAACAGUCCCUGGUCCCUCUAGAUCGAUAAUCAUCUGCCUACCAUGAGCUACGCUUGACCUGCAAAUGACCUUACCGUGUGUUGAAGCUGGAUCUAUUACAUGGAUGGCAUACAGCAGUUUCUGUUGGCUGAGGGUGAGUCAGACGUUGGCUAAAUAUGUGAAUGGGUGUCAUUCCAGGGCGAGUGUAGCUGAGCCGGGCUGCCGCUGACAUGACUGUGUUUGCAGAGUUCAAAUUUGUCCCCACGGCUUGGCAGCUGCUGCCGGAUCCUGCCGUGCUCUCCUGCGGUCGUCCUGUCUCAAACGUCACGUGAAGACUGGAAAUUGCAUGCACAUUUGCCGGCGCCCCGACAGUUUCCAGAAAAGGCUGUGAUUCAGGCCUCCAAUAAAACAGCUCAGCCUGGACAGAUGAAAAGUCUGUUUGGACAACAUUGUGAUUGUCCUGUUUUGGGUGUUGUGGGAAGCGGAUUGGGUUUCAGCCAACAGUGGAAACUACACAUUAAAAGCGUAACUGGAGUAAUUUGUCACCGGACAGAUUUACUCCGGACAAAGUUAUGGGAAUCCUUAAAGGUUAAUUCAAGCGCACUAACGUUUGUCUAUUUGCAGGGAGCAGAACGGGAUGCUCGUUCAAUUUAUGGUUACAGAGACCUUGGAUCGUCUUCCAAAACGAAGUUUAAUGGUAAAUAUUCAGAAGAAUUUCUUCCUGGAAGGAUCUGUUAACUAACUUGCCAAACUGUCUCUUCUUUUCCGAUAUAUUACUUCCUUGUCAUCCUAAAUCAACAAAAUAGAUUUCAGUGAACUUUGAGCUACGGACACCUGGUUUUUCUAGCUUUGGCGAAGGCUUAUGAAAAACGAGCAGCUGGAUCAGGUGACACCUGAAUGAGACGUUUAGAAGCGAAUCAGAUCUAAAUAGAGCUGAACUGUCUUUCAUGCAAGUGAUUAUCUUUCUGUUGUCAUACAUUAAAGAUUUUCAUGCGAUAAUUUA